GGCAUUGCGCAUGGGCGAAGCCUGAGCGCAACGCCGCGUGCGUGAUGAAGGCCUUCGGUUGUAAAACUGCUUUUACAUGGAAAAAACCGUGGGACUUGCCCCCUAAUGGCGUACCUAAGAAUAAGGCCCGGCCAUUCCGUGCCAAC
This 146-nucleotide ribosomal RNA is filed under the name uncultured Staphylococcus sp. RNAcentral describes it as "partial 16S ribosomal RNA". Lineage: Bacteria; Bacillati; Bacillota; Bacilli; Caryophanales; Staphylococcaceae. The record is from RNAcentral.